This 548-nucleotide ribosomal RNA is filed under the name uncultured Glomus. Its description in RNAcentral is "partial 18S ribosomal RNA". Lineage: Eukaryota; Fungi; Glomeromycota; Glomeromycetes; Glomerales; Glomeraceae. The record is from RNAcentral.
GUUUCCCGUAAGGCGCCGAAUGAGUCAUUAAAAAAUUAACAUCAUCCGAUCCCUAGUCGGCAUAGUUUAUGGUUAAGACUACGACGGUAUCUGAUCGUCUUCGAUCCCCUAACUUUCGUUCUUGAUUAAUGAAAACAUCCUUGGCAAAUGCUUUCGCAGUAGUUAGUCUUCAAUAAAUCCAAGAAUUUCACCUCUGACAAUUGAAUACUAAUGCCCCCAACUAUCCCUAUUAAUCAUUACGUCGAUCCUAGAAACCAACAAAAUAGAGUCAAACGUCCUAUUUCAUUAUUCCAUGCUAAUGUAUUCAAGCGUAUGCCUGCUUUAAACACUCUAAUUUUUUCAAAGUAACAGUCCUGAUUCCCCAAGACACCAAAUUAAUGACAUCAAGGCUCUUCAGAAGGGAGAAACCAAUAAUACCAGUACGUACCGAGGCACGACCAACAAAUUGGUCCCGAAAUUCAACUACGAGCUUUUUAACUGCAACAACUUUAAUAUACGCUAUUGGAGCUGGAAUUACCGCGGCUGCUGGCACCAGACUUGCCCUCCAA